RNAcentral lists this ribosomal RNA (459 nucleotides) under uncultured bacterium. Its description in RNAcentral is "partial 16S ribosomal RNA". It matches the Rfam family "Bacterial small subunit ribosomal RNA", at positions 338 to 795 of the family's 1533-position model. The record is from RNAcentral.
CCUACGGGGGGCAGCAGUGAGGAAUAUUGGUCAAUGGGCGGAAGCCUGAACCAGCCAAGUAGCGUGCGGGAUGAAGGCCCUACGGGUCGUAAACCUCUUUUGCACGGGGGCAACACCCUCCACUUGUGGAUGUCUGCAGGUACCCUGCGAAUAAGGGCCGGCUAAUUCCGUGCCAGCAGCCGCGGUAAUACGGAAGGGCCGAGCGUUAUCCGGAUUUAUUGGGCUUAAAGGGUGCGUAGGCGGGCGUGCAAGUCAGCGGUAAAAUCGCGGGGCUCAACCGCGCACCGCCGUUGAAACUGGAGGCCUUGAGUGCGCAAGAGGUAGGCGGAAUGCGUGGUGUAGCGGUGAAAUGCAUAGAUAUCACGAGGAACCCCGAUUGCGAAGGCAGCCUACCGGCGUGCAACUGACGCUGAGGCACGAAGGUGUGGGUAUCAAACAGGAUUAGAUACCCGAGUAGUC